Molecule: ribosomal RNA, 232 nt
Filed under: uncultured bacterium
Lineage: Bacteria
Description: partial 16S ribosomal RNA
Rfam family: Bacterial small subunit ribosomal RNA
Source: RNAcentral
GAGAGUGCAGGCGGUUUUCUAAGUCUGAUGUGAAAGCCUUCGGCUUAACCGGACGAAGUGCAUCGGAAACUGGAUAACUUGAGUGCAGAAGAGGGUAGUGGAACGUCCAUGUGUAGCGGUGGAAUAGCGUAGAUAUAUGGAAGAACACCAGUGGCGAAGGCGGCUACCUGGUCUGCAACUGACGCUGAGACUCGAAAGCAUGGGUAGCGAACAGGAUUAGAUACCCUGGUAG